Molecule: small nucleolar RNA, 83 nt
Organism: Zootoca vivipara (common lizard)
Lineage: Eukaryota; Metazoa; Chordata; Lepidosauria; Squamata; Lacertidae
Source: RefSeq, a predicted model, not a curated record
UCUCUGUGAUGUUUUGCAAUGGAUCCUACUGAAGCCUAUGCUGUUGAGCAAAGGGCAUUUGAAGAGAUUCUGUGACUGAGAGA